Molecule: ribosomal RNA, 425 nt
Filed under: uncultured bacterium
Lineage: Bacteria
Description: partial 16S ribosomal RNA
Rfam family: Bacterial small subunit ribosomal RNA
Source: RNAcentral
GUGGGGAAUCUUGCACAAUGGGCGAAAGCCUGAUGCAGCCAUGCCGCGUGAAUGAUGAAGGCCUUAGGGUUGUAAAAUUCUUUCGUCAGGGAUGAUAAUGACCGUACCUGAAGAAGAAGCCCCGGCUAACUUCGUGCCAGCAGCCGCGGUAAUACGAAGGGGGCUAGCGUUGUUCGGAAUUACUGGGCGUAAAGCGCACGUAGGCGGACUUUUAAGUCAGGUGUGAAAUCCCGGGGCUCAACCUCGGAACUGCAUUUGAAACUGGAAGUCUUGAGAUCAGGAGAGGUUAGCGGAAUACCGAGUGUAGAGGUGAAAUUCGUAGAUAUUCGGUGGAACACCAGUGGCGAAGGCGGCUAACUGGACUGAUACUGACGCUGAGGUGCGAAAGUGUGGGGAGCAAACAGGAUUAGAAACCCUGGUAGUCC